CAGUCGCCGCGGGAAUACAGAGGGUGCGAGCGUUAAUCGGAUUUACUGGGCGUAAAGCGUGCGUAGGCGGCUUCUUAAGUCGGAUGUGAAAUCCCUGAGCUUAACUUAGGAAUUGCAUUCGAUACUGGGAAGCUAGAGUAUGGGAGAGGAUGGUAGAAUUCCAGGUGUAGCGGUGAAAUGCGUAUAGAUCUGGAGGAAUACCGAUGGCGAAGGCAGCCAUCUGGCCUAAUACUGACGCUGAGGUACGAAAGCAUGGGGAGCAAACAGGAUUAGAUACCCCUGUAGUCCCUGUCUCUUAUAA
RNAcentral lists this ribosomal RNA (301 nucleotides) under uncultured bacterium. Its description in RNAcentral is "partial 16S ribosomal RNA". It matches the Rfam family "Bacterial small subunit ribosomal RNA", at positions 509 to 809 of the family's 1533-position model. The record is from RNAcentral.